CCUACGGGUGGCAGCAGUGGGGAAUAUUGCACAAUGGGGGAAACCCUGAUGCAGCGACGCCGCGUGAGUGAAGAAGUAUCUCGGUACGCAAAGCUCUAUCAGCAGGAAAGAAAAUGACGGUACCUGACUAAUAAGCCCCAGCUAACUACGUGCCCGCAGCCGCGGUAAUACGUAGGGGGCAAGCGUUAUCCGGAUUUACUGGGGGUAAGGGGAGAGUAGACGGCGCUGCAAGUCCGGAGGGAAAGCCCAUGGCUUAACCAUGGUACUGCUCUUGAAACUGUGGAGCUGGAGUGCGGGAGGGGCAGGCGGAAUUCCUAGUGUAGCGGUGAAAUGCGUAGAUAUUAGGAGGAACACCGGAGGCGAAGGCGGCCUGCUGGACCGUAACUGACGUUGAGGCUCGAAAGCGUGGGGAGCAAACAGGAUUAGAUACCCUGGUAGUC
RNAcentral lists this ribosomal RNA (440 nucleotides) under uncultured bacterium. RNAcentral describes it as "partial 16S ribosomal RNA". It matches the Rfam family "Bacterial small subunit ribosomal RNA", at positions 338 to 795 of the family's 1533-position model. The record is from RNAcentral.